AAAUUGAAGAGUUUGAUCAUGGCUCAGAUUGAACGCUGGCGGCAGGCCUAACACAUGCAAGUCGAACGGUAACAGGAAGCAGCUUGCUGCUUUGCUGACGAGUGGCGGACGGGUGAGUAAUGUCUGGGAAACUGCCUGAUGGAGGGGGAUAACUACUGGAAACGGUGGCUAAUACCGCAUAACGUCGCAAGACCAAAGAGGGGGACCUUCGGGCCUCUUGCCAUCAGAUGUGCCCAGAUGGGAUUAGCUAGUUGGUGAGGUAACGGCUCACCAAGGCGACGAUCCCUAGCUGGUCUGAGAGGAUGACCAGCCACACUGGAACUGAGACACGGUCCAGACUCCUACGGGAGGCAGCAGUGGGGAAUAUUGCACAAUGGGCGCAAGCCUGAUGCAGCCAUGCCGCGUGUAUGAAGAAGGCCUUAGGGUUGUAAAGUACUUUCAGCGGGGAGGAAGGUGUUGCGGUUAAUAACCGCAGCAAUUGACGUUACCCGCAGAAGAAGCACCGGCU
Molecule: ribosomal RNA, 508 nt
Filed under: Salmonella enterica
Lineage: Bacteria; Pseudomonadati; Pseudomonadota; Gammaproteobacteria; Enterobacterales; Enterobacteriaceae
Description: bacterial SSU rRNA
Rfam family: Bacterial small subunit ribosomal RNA
Source: RNAcentral